RNAcentral lists this ribosomal RNA (253 nucleotides) under uncultured bacterium. RNAcentral's name for it is "partial 16S ribosomal RNA". It matches the Rfam family "Bacterial small subunit ribosomal RNA", at positions 524 to 776 of the family's 1533-position model. The record is from RNAcentral.
UACGUAGGUGGCAAGCGUUGUCCGGAUUUACUGGGCGUAAAGAGCGCGCAGGCGGUCGUUCAAGUCGCGUGUGAAAGCCCCCGGCUCAACUGGGGAGGGUCACGCGAUACUGAUCGACUGGAAGGCAGGAGAGGGUAGUGGAAUUCCCGGUGUAGUGGUGAAAUGCGUAGAUAUUGGGAGGAACACCAGUGGCGAAGGCGGCUCACUGGCCCGAUACUGACGCUGAGGUGCGAAAGCGUGGGGAGCAAACAGG